AUUUAACCGUAAUUUGUGGCAUGUGGCCCGGCAGCGCUUCAUCAUGCUGUUGACUGAGCAUCUGGUGCGCUGUGAGACGGGCAGCGUCAACGUCAGCACGCCGUGGUACAAGAACUGCGUAGAGAGACUACAGCAGAUCUUUCUCAUGCACCACGUGACCAUCCAGCAGUACAUGGGCACGUUGGAAAAUCUGCUGUUCACAGCUGAGCUGGACCACCACAUCCUAGCCGUCUAUCAGCAAUUUUGCGCCCUUCAGCUCUGAAAAGCCUCUGCACAACUUUACGGCUCUUGCAUCAAGAAUCUCCUCAGCCAUUAAAAAAA
This is a long non-coding RNA of Hippocampus comes (tiger tail seahorse), 321 nucleotides long. RefSeq lists it as uncharacterized. NCBI's taxonomy places the organism in Eukaryota, Metazoa, Chordata, Actinopteri, Syngnathiformes, Syngnathidae. The record is from RefSeq and is a predicted model, not a curated record. The transcript is spliced from 2 exons.